Halichondria panicea is the source of this 662-nucleotide long non-coding RNA. RefSeq lists it as uncharacterized. Lineage: Eukaryota; Metazoa; Porifera; Demospongiae; Suberitida; Halichondriidae. The record is from RefSeq and is a predicted model, not a curated record. The transcript has 2 exons.
UCCCAUUACAGUUAAUAGUGCUCAUGUGUAAUAAAAUGCUUUGAAUUAACGCCGUGUAUAUAAUAUAUAGCUAGCUCUAUGGUGGCCAAUGUGCAAGUCUUGAUAGUGCAUGGUGUUGCUCGUUGUUUUUCGACAACGUAUAGCGCUUUAAUCAAAAUCUGCCACUAUUAAAACAUAGAUAGAAGAAGGAAAGGGAUUGGAAAUGCAUCACAUGAUGCUCUAUCAAUUGUACGUGUGACGUCAUAACAUGAUUUUAGAGGCUAGUUGCGCUUGUUCAGCUACUGGAAAGCUGGUAACUCGCUCACUGUCUGAACAGUUGAUCGUUUUAUGAGAAACUCCAGCAAUGUAUUGGGUAGUCAACACCCACAGGGCUAUGCAGAGCCAUAGUAGACUAUCUACAGACUUCUAGCUACUGAGUUACAAGGAGUUUUCUCUUGGAUUUCUGCUAUAUUGACAUGGGGAACCUGAAGAGGGAAUAUGGAAUGCUAGACAAAGAUAGAAGUGGUCCUUUCAAGUCAAGCCAAGGAGAACUUGUGAUAAAUUGAGCAUUUCUGUAGUAGAUAUAGCUAUAUCCAGAUCAAUCUUUACCAACAUACAUGUGCUAAGUACGUAGUAUAAGCAUUGUUCAAUGUCACACAUAAAUGAUACAAUUGUUGUAUAAU